Passer domesticus (house sparrow) is the source of this 2541-nucleotide long non-coding RNA. RefSeq lists it as uncharacterized. Lineage: Eukaryota; Metazoa; Chordata; Aves; Passeriformes; Passeridae. The record is from RefSeq and is a predicted model, not a curated record. The transcript is spliced from 2 exons.
UUUCUUCUGCCCCCCCCCCCCCCCCCCCCCCCUUUUCAGAGAUCAACCCAAAAAUUCCCAAUGACCUAAGGAAAAAGCCUCUGUUACUGUUCUGGUUUUAUGUGCAGGAGCUGCACAUAACAAAAGGUCUGUGGUAUCUCUAUCUCAUCCCCAUGACACAGAUUGGAUGAUCUUGCCUCUGUGCCUCUGCAUUCUGCAGAGCUUUGAGUCUCAAUUUUCAGUUUCAAAUUGUAGCCAGUGCAGGCUGUCAUUGCACAAAACCAUAUGGGUUUCUCUGUAAUUGCCUUAGAGUAAGAAUAGAUUAUAGAUAAUAGAGGUGUAUUUUAUGUAAUGAGGUUGUCACUAUGGUCACUGUGACCAGGCAGAGAUGGCUCAGUCUGACCUGUUGAGUUCACUCCAGUUCUACUCUUCAUCUGUAACUUAUUUCACCUGUGUAAGGUAAAGGCACUCCCUGUGCCUUCUCUCCUACAGUAAUUCUAAUUACUUCCAUGGGAAAAAAAGUCUUCCUUGCUCAAAAGCACUGACAUAUCCGGAUUUGUCUGUGAAAUACAGCCUUAAAUUAGUUUCGCCCUGGGUAUAAGAUUCAUCAGAUGGGGCAUCUGUGUUUGGUGGCAGACUUGUUCUUUGUUUGUCAUGCUGUUAAUGCUUUCUUGAAGUCAAAAUUUUAUCGCUUAUAAGACCUCCCUAAAACUGUGUUUUAUCAGUGUUUGAUAAAGCUCCUGAGGAGAGUUAGAUAAGCAAUGACCAAGUCAAUAUGAUGGUUUAUUGUCCCCAAUAAACCAUCAUAUAAUAAACCCCUCCCAAGUUGAGUCGUUGGUCUACUAACCUCCUGAUAGCUAUGGUAUGCACUGGUCUUAUUUGUGAGGUAAUUGAAGUCACUGUCACAGGAUGAGGGGAAAACCCUUCAAAAAUAAACAGUGAAAAUCUUCCCUCCAAAAGGUGAAUAGCUUUCUGCUGGGUUAGAGUUGAAUCAGUACAGCAAAGGAUCCAGGGCUCCUUGCUCACAGCAAUCAGCAGGAAUUACAUGGGGAAAAGGCAGAUUUUCCUUGGGUGUCAACAUGUAAGAUGAUGGGCUCACCACAUGUUGAAUGCUUGUAAACAGAAUUUUGGCAAAUAAUGACAAAUAAACCUUUUACUUAAAGACUCAGUCCUGGCCACUUUGGCUUAUCACUGUCUGUACAAGCAGAAGUGGUGUGUGAGUGCAUAGUGAAGUGCUGUGGGAAACGAACUGGCUGAAGAGAAUCCAGGGAACAAAAGUCACAGGGGUGGUUGUUAUUCAGUCGAGUCAGUUCCCCAGUCUGGAAGCUAACCAUGACUUGGAUGGUAAUCAGCCAUCCACUUCACAGGGGAAAACAAAGAUUACAUACCUGGAGUGGUUCACAGAAAGCUGAUUUUAGGGUGAACAAAAUUAAAGAAAAAAGAUCCUUGUGCACAAGAGCUGCCCAUCUAUUUCAGUGACAUCUGCCUAACAAAAAAAUGAUAUAUCCUUACAAACCCUGCUGGACUUUCAUUGGUAUGUCAUCAUCCCUACCCCUGAUGAAACUAUUAACACAGUAUACUGGGAGUAAUUUUAAAAAUUCUGAGCCUAAACAUAACGGAGGACUGCUUAUUCCUUUUCUUGUUUUGGAAAGGUGUGAUACUAUGAGCAUUUGCAUGGUCCUGUGUAGGCUCUGAAAUUAACUCCUUACUGAGACAGUCGUUGCUGUUCUCCAGGUGGCUUUGCAAGAGCAGUGUCCUGCUUAUGUGCCUUUAGAAAGUGAAGAGCUGUACUCAAAGACUUAUUUUUCAGAGCAUUAAUUAAUAUAUGAUCAUUAUCUCACUAUAAAAUUUGACCAUUUUGUUUUACUGCAGAGUACUUGCACCGGCUUAGCACUAUAUUCUUCUGUGCAUGAUUGAACACAUCCUGUUUACUUCGCAGUGAAAUUGUUUCUGGCUGUUUCUGGGAGGCAGGUAUUUAGAAGUGUAGAAUAUUACAGCAUCAGGGAAUCAAGAAGGUGGAAGAUUUUGGAGUAGUCACUGGCAGAAAGAUGUGAAUGAACUGCUGAGAGUUCACAGACAUCACCCCAUAGCACAUCAUGCAUGUACUGGAAGACAUAAGCUGGUAUUGAAUAGAUGGUGACCUCUUGGGGACUCCUCCAACCCUGUGGUUCACUGAAAGAAGAAGAGGAUGAAGAAGACCAAAAAAAUUUAAGUGACCUUCUCAGAGGUGCCUUAUCUGAAAGAAAUACCAUUUUUCAGAAAUAUCUCAUAAAUGAACAGCUUUUCUGACUGAGUGCUUGGUACCUAUAAGCAUUUUUAAUCUUCAAAGGGUAACGGAUUUUAUGAACCCGAAGUAAUUGAAUAUCUACACAUCCCAUAGCAAAACACUAUUGUUUCUACUGUUAGGAACUGGGAAAAAAUAGAAGUUAAAUUAAUUUCAUGUCCUGGAAGUUGAUUUUACAAUGUGUAGAUCAGAUGGGAAAUUGAAUUGCCACAAAAAGUAGAAAUUCUGAUAGCAAUAUAGCUGUAUCAUGUUGAAAUAAAAUAAGAAAAUCCAUUAUA